This 233-nucleotide ribosomal RNA is filed under the name uncultured bacterium. RNAcentral's name for it is "partial 16S ribosomal RNA". It matches the Rfam family "Bacterial small subunit ribosomal RNA", at positions 15 to 240 of the family's 1533-position model. The record is from RNAcentral.
GAUCAUGGCUCAGGAUGAACGCUAGCUACAGGCUUAACACAUGCAAGUCGAGGGGCAGCAUCAUCAAAGCUUGCUUUGAUGGAUGGCGACCGGCGCACGGGUGAGUAACACGUAUCCAACCUGCCGACAACACUGGGAUAGCCUUUCGAAAGAAAGAUUAAUACCGGAUGGUAUAGUUUUCCCGCAUGGGAUGAUUAUUAAAGAAUUUCGGUUGUCGAUGGGGAUGCGUUACA